CAAAUACUCCCUCUGUCCGUAAAUACUUGUCAUCAAAAUGGAUAAAAGGAAAUGUAUCUAGACGUAUUUUAGUUUUAAAUACAUCUCUUUUUAUCCAUUUUGAUCACAAGUAUUUUCGUAAGGAGGGAGUAUAAA
Molecule: non-coding RNA, 135 nt
Organism: Triticum aestivum (bread wheat)
Lineage: Eukaryota; Viridiplantae; Streptophyta; Magnoliopsida; Poales; Poaceae
Source: Rfam